UGGGGAAUAUUGCACAAUGGGCGCAAGCCUGAUGCAGCAACGCCGCGUGAACGAUGAAGGUCUUCGGAUCGUAAAGUUCUGUUGCAGGGGAAGAUAAUGACGGUACCCUGUGAGGAAGCCCCGGCUAACUACGUGCCAGCAGCCGCGGUAAUACGUAGGGGGCUAGCGUUAUCCGGAUUUACUGGGCGUAAAGGGUGCGUAGGUGGUCCUUCAAGUCGGUGGUUAAAGGCUACGGCUCAACCGUAGUAAGCCGCCGAAACUGGAGGACUUGAGUGCAGGAGAGGAAAGUGGAAUUCCCAGUGUAGCGAUGAAAUGCGUAGAUAUUGGGAGGAACACCAGUAGCGAAGGCGGCUUUCUGGACUGCAACUGACACUGAGGCACGAAAGCGUGGGUAGCAAACAGG
RNAcentral lists this ribosomal RNA (403 nucleotides) under Verrucomicrobiota bacterium. RNAcentral's name for it is "Verrucomicrobia bacterium partial 16S ribosomal RNA". It matches the Rfam family "Bacterial small subunit ribosomal RNA", at positions 355 to 776 of the family's 1533-position model. The record is from RNAcentral. Lineage: Bacteria; Pseudomonadati; Verrucomicrobiota.